ACUACAUCCGAACUGUAUGGCCUGAUAUUCUACGCUUUGCUCUUCCGAAAAUUUUAUCUUGGAGCGAAACAAUUGGUUGAAACCGGUUGUGUACGCAUUCGGCAUAUCUUGGUUGGAUGUGUUAUUUUACAGCAAGAGGAGAAUAAUUGGCAAACAAGUCAAUUGGAACAAGAACAGAUACAGCUUAUGCACAGAACGUUUUCUCAUCAUGCACUACGUAUAAUGAGCUGUAUACAUGAUGUUGACAAUGGGAAUUCAAUGAAAAAAAGUCGAGAUGAUGGAAGAUUUAUAGAAUAUCUCCUUGGAGAUCCUGUUAUCCAUUCUGGUCGGCUUCUAUUGAAUCAUGGGUAUCUAAAAGAUGCUAUCAAAACAGAAAACAAAACAUUUUUGGAUAAUGAAGUUGUAAAAGAUGUUUUAAAUGGAAUGUGGUACGG
This is a long non-coding RNA of Saccostrea cuccullata (small rock oyster), 434 nucleotides long. RefSeq lists it as uncharacterized. The transcript has 3 exons. Lineage: Eukaryota; Metazoa; Mollusca; Bivalvia; Ostreida; Ostreidae. The record is from RefSeq and is a predicted model, not a curated record.